GCCGACAGCUAGCUCUCUGCAACUCUCACAUGGUCGCCCACUGAAGCUAAGCAGGGCUGCGCCAGGUCAGUACCGGGAUGGGAGACCACAUGGGAAAGCUAGGUUGCUGCCGGAA
Molecule: ribosomal RNA, 115 nt
Filed under: Danio rerio (zebrafish)
Lineage: Eukaryota; Metazoa; Chordata; Actinopteri; Cypriniformes; Danionidae
Source: RNAcentral